CUGCCUAAAUUCGUUGGGGUCUGUCUCGUGACGUAGGGAUAAAGUAGAAUUGGGUUACUAUACUUAAUGUGAGUGCACUAUAUAUUUUAUUAAAUAACCCAGGAGUGAUACCCAAAAUAUAACCACCCUCUUAAAACACCCCUGACACCCUACACUUCCUAAAAUACACCCCGUAUGUGAAAACCGAACCCAAAACAUAAUAUUGUAUUAAAAAUAAAUGAAAAACAGAAAAAGUAAGCUGAGGCGGGCCGCGUAGACCCACCCCAAACCUUACGCGGGCGGUAUGAAGGUUUAAACCUGAAUUCGUUGAUUCUUUAAGGUCAGACGGGCCGCGUAAAGAUCCCCGUUAGUUAACGCGGGCCGCGAGGGAUCUAAAAGGAGGCGCAGGUCUGGGCCGCCACGUGGCCCAACACAUGUCGAAGCUGGGCAAUGACCCGGACAAGCUACCCUGUUGACCAGGGUUGACGCGGGCCGCGUAGGCCCUGCCCUAAUGUUACACGGGCCGCGAGGAAGACAGAUUUCAACACUAUAUAAAGAGGCAUCGGGCCUUCAGUCUGCUUCGUUCAAAAUCAUUUCUUUCUCUCUCAAAAUUAAAUAGUGGGCAUUAUACUCGGGUCUAAUACCCCCUAAUUAGCGAAGCUCUGCCUCGUUGUAAGUAUCAUAACCCAUGGAUACGUAUUAGAUACUCUGCCUGAUUGAUCUAGGGUUCCGUAACGGCUGUCGUGGUUCUGCCCGACGUAGUCGCUGGAAUACCGUCUCGGGGAGGGUAUUACUAAUAUUAAAAUGGGUUAUUAUACUAACGCGUGUGCAUUGUUUAAUUAGACUAUAACCAGGGAAUCACAAAGGAAAGCCUUAUAAUAACAAUGUAACUUAGUGUGAAGCCAAUAAAAGCCAGCUGGAGAGCACUGAAGGCUUGGAAAAGUGGCAAUAAAGUUACCUAAAUAAAAUAGAUGUUUUUACUAAAUAAAAUAGGAUUUAUUCCUAUGAAAAUGUGUGUACUGAAAACUUGGGUUUUAUCCCAUGUGUUUAAUAUUAUGAAAAUAUGGUGGUUUUACUCUGAUAAAAUAUUUCCUAACUACGGUCCUGAUGAAAAAUUCCGCUGCCAAAUUAGACAAUACACGGUACCACCGAAACUGACUCACGGCCGCCGUUCC
Helianthus annuus (common sunflower) is the source of this 1154-nucleotide long non-coding RNA. RefSeq lists it as uncharacterized. The record is from RefSeq and is a predicted model, not a curated record. The transcript has 2 exons. NCBI's taxonomy places the organism in Eukaryota, Viridiplantae, Streptophyta, Magnoliopsida, Asterales, Asteraceae.